This is a long non-coding RNA of Hipposideros armiger (great roundleaf bat), 408 nucleotides long. RefSeq lists it as uncharacterized. The transcript is spliced from 3 exons. Lineage: Eukaryota; Metazoa; Chordata; Mammalia; Chiroptera; Hipposideridae. The record is from RefSeq and is a predicted model, not a curated record.
GUUUAAGGAGGAAGCAGCUAUGUCUGCAUUUCUCUAAAUACCCUAAAGCAAACACCAUGGAUUUUACAAGAUAAAUAAAGAGGCCACUGAGAUUUCACAGGCUGCCCUGGCUCUGCUGUGGGCAGAGAAACAAGCACAAUUCCCGUGGGCAAAACUGAGGGCCGAUGGGACAAAUGAGGCAAGAUUUCCAGUACAUCUUGUCCAAAGAGGUCAACACGGACUUGUGGGCGGAUCCUGAGACGGCUUCCCCUCAUCUAAGAUCAGAUAGGGCGAGAGUUCUGUGGAUCCUCAAUAGGUAGGGACAACGGCCACAUUCAGCAGGAAUCAGGCACAGAAGUAGAGAUCUCCUGUUCCUCAACUUCCCAUAGAGGUUUAUGGGGAUCACGUCUCUCAAGGGGGACAUAAGGC